ACUCAAAUGAAUAGACGGGGGCCCGCACAAGCGGUGGAGCAUGUGGUUUAAUUCGACGCAACGCGAAGAACCUUACCUGGGCUCGAACGGCUUCUCAACGUCUGUGGAAACAUGGAUACCCCGCAAGGGGGUGGAGUCGAGGUGCUGCAUGGCUGUCGUCAGCUCGUGUCGUGAGAUGUUGGGUUAAGUCCCGCAACGAGCGCAACCCUUGUCCUGUGUUGCCAUGCCGCAAGGCGGCACUCGCAGGAGACCGCCAGCGAUAAGCUGGAGGAAGGUGGGGAUGACGUCAAGUCCUCAUGGCCUUUAUGUCCAGGGCUACACACGUGCUACAAUGGCCGGUACAAAGCGUCGCUAACCUGCGAAGGGGAGCCAAUCGCAAAAAACCGGUCUCAGUUCGGAUUGCAGGCUGCAACCCGCCUGCAUGAAGCUGGAAUCGCUAGUAAUGGCAGAUCAGCACGCUGCCGUGAAUACGUUCCCGGGCCUUGCACACACCGCCCGU
Molecule: ribosomal RNA, 499 nt
Filed under: uncultured bacterium
Lineage: Bacteria
Description: partial 16S ribosomal RNA
Rfam family: Bacterial small subunit ribosomal RNA
Source: RNAcentral